GAAUUCAACUCCUACGGGAGGCAGCAGUAAGGAAUAUUGGUCAAUGGACGCAAGUCUGAACCAGCCAUGCCGCGUGAAGGAUGAAGGUCCUCUGGAUUGUAAACUUCUUUUAUAGGGGACGAAAUCUAUUUUUCUAAGUAGUCUGACGGUACCCUAGGAAUAAGCACCGGCUAACUCCGUGCCAGCAGCCGCGGUAAUACGGAGGGUGCAAGCGUUAUCCGGAUUCACUGGGUUUAAAGGGAGCGUAGGAGGGCAGGUAAGUCAGUGGUGAAAUCUUCGAGCUUAACUCGGAAACUGCCGUUGAUACUAUCUGUCUUGAAUACCGUGGAGAUGAGCGGAAUAUGUCAUGUAGCGGUGAAAUGCUUAGAUAUGACAUAGAACACCAAUUGCGAAGGCAGCUCGUUACACGAAUAUUGACUCUGAGGCUCGAAAGCGUGGGGAUCAAACAGGAUUAGAUACCCCAGUAGUCCAGGCGUU
This 477-nucleotide ribosomal RNA is filed under the name uncultured bacterium. Its description in RNAcentral is "bacterial SSU rRNA". It matches the Rfam family "Bacterial small subunit ribosomal RNA", at positions 328 to 803 of the family's 1533-position model. The record is from RNAcentral.